Molecule: unclassified non-coding RNA, 946 nt
Filed under: Hevea brasiliensis (rubber tree)
Lineage: Eukaryota; Viridiplantae; Streptophyta; Magnoliopsida; Malpighiales; Euphorbiaceae
Source: RNAcentral
UAUCUGGAAAGCCAUGGCAUUCUGCAACAAGUAAAAAUGUUAUCAACUUUGUCUCGUAUCUAGAAAAAGAAAUGCUGAGACAAUGCUGCACAUCCUUAAGCCAUUGCCAGAUGAAAAUUCACUCAGUCAAUUUCUGAUUACUUGGACAUAUUUCUGAAUCAGCUAGUUUAGUUUAGCUUAUUCCUGAGACCAGCGUUAAUAGUAAAUUGAUGGGUGACAUGUAGAUAUGCUAUAUUCCAUUCUUGCAUGACAUUCACAAACAUGUAAUGAUUCUUGGAGUAUGCAGAACUUUUCUUCUAUUGCUCUUACCCAAGUAUACCAAUCCAGUAACAUUGAAUUAGUAGCCUAGAUCGAGUAAUGUAAGCAAUCAGAAGCUAAGAUAGCAGUAAAAACUAGCGAAGAAAAUCCCUGUUUAUCAAACAAGGGAUACCCACUUGGUGAAAGGAUUUCUUUAUUAUGGUGGAAAGCAAAAGUCAUAGAGGAUAUGCAUUCGGUGGACCUACAGGCUCCAAAGUGGCUGAGGCUACAUAUUGGUAUAGUAACCUUAUAUUAGUAUAGUAACCUAUCUGCAUUUUAUCAGAUAAGCAGGUGGGGCAGUACCAGCCAAAUAUCAAGAUAAGAGACAUUUCUUAAAAAAUUAAAACUAGUCACUAUCCAUCCACUAAAAAGCAACAUUAAUCAAUUGUCAAUAAUAAUAUAUUUUAGCCCCCACAAGUUCAAUCCUUCUCAGAUUUUUCCACUAUCACUCACCCCUCUCAUAAAAUUUAAUAUCCAGGUUAAAAAAACAGAACCAAAAUCAAAGCAAAACUCUACAUAAUCAUGAUAAGGUUUUAAUAAUGUUCCAUGGGACAGACUAAGAAAUUAAUAUUUAAAUAUCAUAAAAAAAGAGAAACUAGUGAAAAUUGGAAUGAAGAGCCAUUACCUGAAAGGUGACUGAUGCCAGCGG